This is a long non-coding RNA of Peromyscus californicus insignis, 5321 nucleotides long. RefSeq lists it as uncharacterized. Lineage: Eukaryota; Metazoa; Chordata; Mammalia; Rodentia; Cricetidae. The transcript is spliced from 3 exons. The record is from RefSeq and is a predicted model, not a curated record.
CUUAAUUUAGAGAGAGCCUCAAAGGUGCGCUCGGUGACUGCAGCGCUACCGUCACACGGAUGGAUGGACUAAUUCUACCCUCCAUGACUGUCACAAGAUGGUUCGAAACUGAGCAGGGAAAAGGAAGAAAUCAAGAGCGGUCGUCUUUGCGUGGAACCUCCUGACGACCCAGAGCAGAGUCUGUGGCUUAAAAGAGUUCUGCUGCCCUUGACUUCUGGGAAAAUGAAAAGAUAUUCUCGCUGGCCAGACUUUGUUCCACAUGAAUGAAAUACCAGAUUUGGUUCAGUGAGCAGUCAACCCUACAGGACUUCAUAGUGGAUCCAGGUAUGAGGCCGGCUCACUGGCAGCUAUUUGGAAAUCACCAACAUCAAUGUAUGAGGCAUAUGGCUAGGCUCUGUAGGUUCUCACCUAGUUCCUCCGGCUUCUGGUUUUCUCUUGUAAAGUUCAAGUCUCCAAAAAGCCAGGUGAGGCCAACAAUAGAGCCUUCUUUGCUUAGUCCAGAAUUCCACCAAACUCCUUCAUAUUAGGCAAGCCAUGCAUCGUAAGAGAUGAUAAUUUGACACAUAGUUGGUCUUAUGGGUGUUCUACUUACGUCUAUUUUGUUUCUGUCUGGAUAAACUCAGAUACACGGAAAACAUCUUGAGUCUCAUAGUGGUUUGAAUGAUGUCCCCUGUAGGCUCAUGCAUUUGAACAUUUGGUCCCCAGCUGGCGGUUUGGGGAGGUUUAGGAGGUGUGGCCUCCCUGAAGGAAGUGCGUCACUAGGGAUGAGCCUUGAGAGCUUAGAGACUCCAGCCAUUUCCAGUUGCCCCCUUUCUGCGUCAUGCUCGUGGUUCGAAAUGCGAGCUCUCAGCCUGCUGUCUCCAGCCCUCAGGCCUGCUUAUGCUACCUACUGCCGCGCUGCCCCAGAUGCUGCGGCGGUUUGGGUAAGAAUGACACCCAUAGACUCAGAUGUUUGAAUACUUGGUCCACGUUGGUGGAACUUUUUGGGGAGGAUCAGAAGGUGUGGCCUUGUUGGAGUGCCUUGUUGGUGUGCCACUGAGGGCAGACUUAGUGGUUUCAAAAGACUGAUAUCAUUCCAGUUUGUCCUACUUACAGAUCAAGAUUUGAGCUCUCAGCUGUUUCUGCCACCAUGCCCUUGCUACACCAUCAUGAUGAACUCCUACCCGUUAGAACAAAGUCAAAGAAGCUUCCAUUAGCCGGGCAGUGGUGGCGCACGCCUUUGAUCCCAGCACUCGGGAGGCAGAGCCAGGCGGAUCUCUGUGAGUUCGAGGCCAGCCUGGUCUACAUAGUGAGAUCCAGGACAGGCACCAAAACAACACAGAGAAACCCUGUCUUGAACCCACAUCCCCCCCAAAAAAUUACAUUUAUGUGUUUUGUGUGUGUGCAUGUGAGUGCGUGCGUGAGUGCGUGCGUGCGUGCGUGUGUGUGUGUGUGUGUUUGUGUGUCUGUGCAUGCUCAUAGCACAUGGGAAGUUAAAGGACAAUCUGUGGAGUUGGUUCUAUCCUUCCCCUGUGGGACCAGAGGAAUGAGCUUCCAUCAGGCUUGGUGGCAAGUACCUUUACUGUCUUGCUAGACUUGUUUAUUAUUUGCAACAACCAAGCCAAACAGGGCUUGACACUACAGUGCAUGCUUGUAAUUGCCUGGCACUUGGGAGGUAGAGGCAGGAGACUCAGAAGCUCCAGGUUCACCCUUACGUACAUGUCUACUUCAAGGCCAGCCUGUGCUUUAUGAGACCUCGUCUCAAAACCAAAGCCAAGAACAAAACAAAUGGCGUUGGGGAAUACAGCAGGGAAUGUUUUAUUUACUGUUGAAGAUUUGUGACAUUAACUCUUUGAACACCAUAGUCAUUGCUAAUCUUUUGCCCUUUUCACCAAACUUACAGGGUUUUACAUUAUUUAUGAAAUAAAAUUUAUUGAGUUUUCCCUCUUUCUGUUUCCGGCCUUUGACUCAUAGUCAGAUAGACCGCCAUUUCUCCUGAAAUGGCAAUGAAAGUCUCUGUUUUUCCUCUAUACUUUUACAUCCCAAUCUUCACAUGUAAGUUUUUGAUCCCUCUGGAGUUUACACAGCACGAGGAAGGACUCUAGGAUGAGUUUAUUUCUUCCAAAUAGCUAGCUAGGUUUCCCAAGAACAUCCUUGAAUGAUUCAUCUUAGCCCACUGAUACACAAUUCUCCUUGUCCACAUGCCCUUCUGGGCCCCUGAUGGUCAUUUGCUCAGUUUCUAAGGCAGUGCCAUACAUAUCAGCAUCUCAUUUCUCACUUUUAGAAAUUUCUGGGUUAUUCUUGAAUGCUUGUUCCCUUAGAGGAAUGUAAGGAUUAUUUUUUCAAAGUUUCCAAAAAGAUCCUGUUCGGGUUUUUAUUAGAGCUGUAUAAUUUAUGCCAUUUAUAGCUAAAUAAAUCUAUGGACUAACUUGGGGAGAAUUUUCAUAGUUCUGAGUGUUAUAUGAGAAUCAGACGUGUGUGUGUGUGUGUGUGUGUGUGUGUGUGUGUGUGUGUGUGUGUGGUGUGAAAUGGAUUUUACCUAUUCUUUUGGGGCAUGGGAUUGAGACAAGGUCUCAUGUAGCUCAGUCUGAAUAUAAACUUGAUAUGUAGUUGAGAAUGACUUGAAUCCCUGAUCCUCCUGCCUUCACCUCCUAAGUAAACCCUUGGACUACAGGUGUGUGGUGCCACACCCAACUCAUUAUCUUUUAAUUUGUUUCCUGAAGUUUAUUUCUGGGAAUCUUUUUGGAGUUUGUUGGCUGGCCAUGAGUUCUUAGGUAUGUGCAUGACAAGUUGCUCCCCAGCAUAAAAUGUAAGCUUGGAACUGGAAUGCAAUGGCUUUGGGAUCUACCAAAGGCAGCGUGAGACAUACACACAUGGGCCUUGGGGAAACCGCUUGGUGCUGAGUGGGUCAUCAGACAUAGGAACUGCUUGAAGGCUAAAGUAUCUGUCUCCAAAUCCUCCCAAUGCUGAGAUUCCCAGAAACCUUCACAGAGAGCUCCUAUACUGUGAAAGCCCAUUUGCUGUGACUCUGAGCCCAUCCAGGGGCUGGCUCUGUGCUCCAUUGCUGAAAAGUUAGUGGCAGCCAUAUCACAAUGGGAGGCCUGGCUCCUUCUUCUCUGGUUAAUUAAUGAUCCCCUGGGGCCUUGGGGGUGGGGCUUCAAAAUGGUAAUGGCUUAGAAAAAUGCAUCAGAGGCACAUAGACCACUUGGAGUACCCAGUUAAGAAUGAUUUGCCACAUACAGGAGAGCUUCACAAAGACUUUCACAAACAUGGGCAUUCAGCUCUGCUGAUAGCCCCACAUCCUUAAUGGCAUAAUCACCAACAUAAUCCAUUCAGAAUAAUGGCCUUUUAAUACAGAAACAAUUACUUCAGAUAAUAAAAUAACACUUUAAUUUGCUUGACACCAAGUUUGACCUAUGCGGAUCAUCUGAUGGGGAGGUGAGGGGAAGGGAAAUCGGCUGAGCUCUAAAUACAUUAUAAAGUGAUAACGUACCAUGUACUUCAGGCCUGAGAUGCUUUAAAAGGCUUGGCAGGAAAAGAAAAUGAUAAUCAGAGUAAGUUAUUGCUUUGGAAUUUACAAAAUACUUGGUAAUUUGAGUAUCGACUUCUUCCAGUUUCCUUAGAGAGAGAAAGCUAUGCCUUCGAGUUAAUGCACUUGGAUUAAAUUUGUUCAUUUUGAACACCUACUGUGGGAAGGGAUUUAAGGCAUGCAAUCGCUCAACAAAUUGUUAUUGCAUGAAAACUAAUACUGGGUCCUAGGAGGGAAAUGCAAACAAAAUCCAUUGCUCCGCUACAUUCUCAUAUCUUUAGAGCUAUCUUCUGGUACUUGUAAACUAUUUCUAUUCUGUCUUUAAUAGAACUGUUUUCUUAAGUGUCUUCAAAUUCUUUGGGGAAGUAGGUGAGUUUUAAGUCUUAAAUAAUUAAAAGCUUCCCUAAGUAAAUCUCCUAAGUUGGGAAACGAGACAGCCAUUUACUUACUUAGUUUCAUGGAUUGUUGGUAUAGGCAAGGACUCGUUCUUUGUCAUUUGGAAAGAGAAAAGCUGGGUCCAGGGUUGGGGGGGUAACAUCCAAAGUCUCAUGUGAUGACUGACUUUCAAGUACCAUUGCAGAGCCAACAACUGAAGUCUUGACUGUGAGUUUCUGAUAACUAAUUCUGUCUCUUAUUAUGUUAAAUAUUUCUUAGUACAUAAGAAGGAGACAUAGUCAUCAUUUGUACUUUAGUGAGAAUUAAUUUGUAACAACUUUCCUGCAAUAAGUAAAGGAGAAAAUUGGUAUAUGUUUUGAAAAGAUGAGUACAAACUGCCAGUAAUCUACCUACCAAUCUGUAAUUUGGGACAGUGUGGUUCAUAGUCUUAACACUAGGCUUUGGUGCAUUCGAGGUGAGAUCAUAUUUGUUAUAGAAUAUUGUAUGCUCAUCUUGUUUCCUCUAACAUUUUAGGGUUUUUUUCCCAUUAAAAAUUCUUUGAUACAGACUGCCUUCUAAAUUCAAGUCUCUCUACCCAGUAGUACUGGAUAGUACUCAGCCCUCAGAGAAGUUUCUCAGUGCAGUAUAUCAUGGUUAACUCAGAAACUCACAACCGGUCAAAGUGCAGAGAAGAAAUGUCUGUGGCCUGCUCAGCCACACAUGGGACAUCGAUAUCACAGCCCCUCAUGCCAAGACUCAGGGAUCACUGCAGAAGAGGGAGUGGGAGGACUGUCAGAGCCAGAGGUCAGGGAGGUUGGAGCGAAUCAGUGUCUUAUGGGCAUGAUAGGACCACCGCACUCAUGAGCUCAGGGCAGCUGCACACCCCUGCACAGGAUCAAGCCAGUCUUCAGUCUAGCAUGUAAUGGGGAGGGGUCUGUGAGUCCACCCAUGACUGAGGAGCUAUUGGCAGUUGAUGGGGAAAGGAUCAGUUUUGUUCAAGGAUGUGGCCCUGGCAGUCAGUCAAAUUCCGGUGGAUAUCCCCACACCUAGGAGUAUGUGGACAGACAAACCGGACUUGGGUUCUAAGAAAAGGAAAAAGAAAAAGAAAGGGGAGGACAUGAAGUUGGGAGUGAGUAAGGGUUGGAUCUUGGAGGAGUUAGGGGGAGGAGUGGGGUGAAUAUGAUCAAAGUACAUUGUAUACAUGCAUGAAAUUCUCAAAGAAUUCAUAAAAUAUUAUGUCAAAAUAUUUGAUAUCACCACUUCUCUGGACUGAAUUAUAUCCCCUCCCCAAUUCAUCAGGUGAAACUGUAGCUAGCCCUCCGAACCCCCCUACCCUGCCUUGUCACUGUAUGUGGAGGCAGAGCCUUUAUGGAUGGGAUUAAGGUGUGGAUGGGGUUAAGGUAUGGAUGGGGUUAAGGUAUGGGUGGGGUUAAGGUAU